GAUGAACGCUAGCGACAGGCUUAACACAUGCAAGUCGAGGGGCAGCACAGGUAGCAAUACCGGGUGGCGACCGGCGCACGGGUGAGUAACGCGUAUGCAACUUACCUAUCAGAGGGGGAUAACCCGGCGAAAGUCGGACUAAUACCGCAUGAAGCAGGGGUCCCGCAUGGGGAUAUUUGCUAAAGAUUCAUCGCUGAUAGAUAGGCAUGCGUUCCAUUAGGCAGUUGGCGGGGUAACGGCCCACCAAACCGACGAUGGAUAGGGGUUCUGAGAGGAAGGUCCCCCACAUUGGUACUGCGACACGGACCAAACUCCUACGGGAGGCAGCAGUGAGGAAUAUUGGUCAAUGGCCGAGAGUCUGAACCAGCCAAGUCGCGUGAGGGAUGAAGGUUCUAUGGAUCGUAAACCUCUUUUAUAAGGGAAUAAAGUGCGGGACGUGUCCCGUUUUGUAUGUACCUUAUGAAUAAGGAUCGGCUAACUCCGUG
This 485-nucleotide ribosomal RNA is filed under the name uncultured bacterium. RNAcentral's name for it is "partial 16S ribosomal RNA". It matches the Rfam family "Bacterial small subunit ribosomal RNA", at positions 28 to 507 of the family's 1533-position model. The record is from RNAcentral.